GAAACGAGCACACUAAAGAGUGACAGGAGUAACUAAAGAUUUUUGGGAUAGUACAUAAUUAUACAGAAAAUUUGGAGUUUUCUCAUGGGGCCUAGGCAAAUUGGCAGUGUACUCUUUUUUAGCUGUCUUGAAGCUUUCCUAGCCUUAAUCAAACCUUUAAACGGACAAAAAGAUUAUCUGAAAUUUGUGAAUCAUCUUUCAUUUAGAGCAAAACAAAACUUCUAUGCUGUGCUAUCCAGUAUCCACAACAAUGCUCAGUUCAGAGACUCGAUUACGAGUUGGUACUUGGUGGUGUGAUGAUUUCCCGCCAAGCGAGCUUGAAGAUUUGCCUCUUGUUGAAGAUGAUGAAUACUGUAAUUCACAACAAUUUUGUUAUCAUCACGAUCACUAUCACUAUCGUCAUCUGCAUGCUCAAAAGAUAACACUCCGAAGAAUUCAAUCAGUUUAUGAAUUUCAUCAGAUUGGGGGCUUUCUAUCAUGAUGACUGCCCUAUGCACGCACUUGGAAGAAGAUUAUCUUAAAAGGAAAGACUAGUCACAUAUCGCUUGUUGGGAUCGAAGAUUGGAGCUGCUGGCGCAAGAUGGGCCAAUUGAUGCUGCAAGCACACCUACUUCUCCGGAUUACAUGGUGUGGUUCCUCUCCAUCGCUCGCCGAUAGAUUACACGACAAGGCACAAGAUGUCACAUCUGUGAUUAGCUCCAGCUCUUCAUUCCCGAAGUGGCUGCGCCAGAGACCUCAAGGGACGUGCAGAGGGAAUCUCCUCCUCACAACGACAUAUAUUUGGAGGAGGUCGAACUGACGUACCCCCAGGAUGUUGUGGGGUCCUUAUAGGGUGCGGAAUCAUCGCAAGGUGUGGGAUCAUACCAGUACCAAUCCCCUCCCCUCCUCGAGCGCCAUAUGACCGCCUUUUACUAUCGUAAGAGGUGGUCUAGACCAUCACAUCUAGACUUCUAGAGAGGGUGCAAAAGGAGGAUGAGCAUUAGUGUAUUGUUUGUAAUAUAUCGAACAUUUGUGUAUAUUAAACAUUUGUAAUAUUUUGACAUUUGUAUAUAGUUUGUAAUAUAUAUGUAAAUGAAUAUAUGUUUAUCUAUCGUGUUUAGCAUAUGUUUAUUACGAAUUGAAUGUUAUUGCUCGGAGAUUUCGGCGAUGAUUUAUUCCGCCUUGAAUCAUGCAUUGAGCUAUAAUCACUCCGUUUAUCUUAGAAUGAUGUAUACAAUUAAUCUAUA
Molecule: long non-coding RNA, 1226 nt
Organism: Amaranthus tricolor (Joseph's coat)
Lineage: Eukaryota; Viridiplantae; Streptophyta; Magnoliopsida; Caryophyllales; Amaranthaceae
Exons: 3
Source: RefSeq, a predicted model, not a curated record